CUCGAUUUCAUGUAUUCCAUUUUUGGAAGUCUUUGUGUUCAAGAAACGGCCACCAGUUCCCCUUGGUCGUCGCAUUGCAUGAAGAUGGCGUGAAAGGUGCAUGUAAGGCUUGCGUUUUCUUGUUGACUUAUUCUCAAGCAGUACAGCCUUUGCACGGGUUUUUCGACGCCUAAUGAUUCCAUGGUAUUGCUUAGGAUUUACAAAUAUCGGUCCAUCAUCUGUUGUAAUGUUCAUUGGCAGCAUAAUUCGUCCUGAUAUUUGAGGUCCAUAAGUUGAGAAUACUCCAUAACAGUGAUCCAUAUGAGGAUAUUUUGCACAGAUCAUUGGCUGUCCGAAUCCCAGGUCAAUAUGAGAACGAUAUUCUGGCAAAGUUGUUUGCAGAGAGAUGGCUGUCUGAGGAGAUUUUUGUCCUUCAUCUGAAGUUUUGCAGUCACCUGGAAAGAUUGUGAAUUGAGUGGUAUUCCCUUUAUCUAGCCCUUUCUCAGUGCAGCGACUGGCUUGCUUCAUGGCAGUGAGUUGGUCUCCACCAGUUGAUGAUUGUUCUAUUGAAGAAGCCUUGACUAGCCCACAGGAUUCGCCAUAAACAGAUUGAGAUCCAUAAGUAGUCCACCAAGGCACUGAUGGCACCG
RNAcentral lists this unclassified non-coding RNA (629 nucleotides) under Hevea brasiliensis (rubber tree). The record is from RNAcentral. Lineage: Eukaryota; Viridiplantae; Streptophyta; Magnoliopsida; Malpighiales; Euphorbiaceae.